GUGGAGGGAAGCUCAGUGCUGAGGCUACAGACAGAGUGUAGGGGUCACUCUAUGUGCCUCAGGGAAGGUCUGAGACUGGAGCUCCUAGUUGCCCCUGCAGGGCAUCCCUUGGAUGAAGGGGGUGGGUCCCCAGAGAACUUGGCUCUGAUUGCCCAGUGAGUGCAAAAGAUGCAGCAAGUACCCAAUGUUGUGCUUCUGCAGAUGCAAAGGCAUCAGGCUUGGCACUGCCCCACAGCUGGCACAUUCAAGCUCAAUGGCUGAGAGAGAACUGCCUGUGGUUUCCCAACCCAAUUCAGACUACUCUCCCUCCAC
Molecule: RNase P RNA, 312 nt
Filed under: Xenopus tropicalis (tropical clawed frog)
Lineage: Eukaryota; Metazoa; Chordata; Amphibia; Anura; Pipidae
Description: Nuclear RNase P (ENSXETG00000046716.1)
Rfam family: Nuclear RNase P
About the family: Ribonuclease P (RNase P) is a ubiquitous endoribonuclease, found in archaea, bacteria and eukarya as well as chloroplasts and mitochondria.
Source: Rfam by way of RNAcentral